GAAGAGGCAAAAAGAAAAUUUAUGCUUGUAGCACAACAACUUACACAGGCUUUCAAGCUGUAAUGACCGAAGAAGAGUCAGAGAAGUUUAAUGGAUCUGGUGUAGUGCUAUGAAUGUAUGGCCUGCCCUUAUUGUUGAGACAAGCAAUGCUUUCAGGGCUUUAUACAGGGCAUUCUAACAUCAUCUGAACAGGCUGAUAUGACCAUGUUAGAAGACGAACUACCAACAAAAAGAUGACUUUCAUCAGGCCUUGUCAAGGUAUAUUGAGAUGAUUUCUUUGGAGCAAUUCUUGACAACAUUUGUAGUUGAGGCCUUUAGAAUGGAAGAAUGUAUUUCACUAAUUUUUGUAUACAUUUCUUGUUUUGUAUUUAGUGAUAAAGGAAUCUGAAUUGGGCAUAAAUUAUGUUGUAAUAUGAUUUCUUAAGCCUAGACUAGUAGACUAAAUAUUGUAAUUACAUUUGAGUAAUUAAUAAAAAUCUAUUUAUGUUACC
Molecule: long non-coding RNA, 491 nt
Organism: Humulus lupulus (European hop)
Lineage: Eukaryota; Viridiplantae; Streptophyta; Magnoliopsida; Rosales; Cannabaceae
Exons: 4
Source: RefSeq, a predicted model, not a curated record